CCCCGUAAACGUUGGGAACUAGUUGUGGGGUCCUUUCCACGGAUUCCGUGACGCAGCUAACGCAUUAAGUUCCCCGCCUGGGGAGUACGGCCGCAAGGCUAAAACUCAAAGGAAUUGACGGGGACCCGCACAAGCGGCGGAGCAUGCGGAUUAAUUCGAUGCAACGCGAAGAACCUUACCAAGGCUUGACAUACACGAGAACACCCUAGAAAUAGGGGACUCUUUGGACACUCGUGAACAGGUGGUGCAUGGUUGUCGUCAGCUCGUGUCGUGAGAUGUUGGGUUAAGUCCCGCAACGAGCGCAACCCUCGUUCUAUGUUGCCAGCACGUAAUGGUGGGAACUCAUGGGAUACUGCCGGGGUCAACUCGGAGGAAGGUGGGGAUGACGUCAAAUCAUCAUGCCCCUUAUGUCUUGGGCUUCACGCAUGCUACAAUGGCCGGUACAAAGGGCUGCAAUACCGUGAGGUGGAGCGAAUCCCAAAAAGCCGGUCCCAGUUCGGAUUGAGGUCUGCAACUCGACCUCAUGAAGUCGGAGUCGCUAGUAAUCGCAGAUCAGCAACGCUGCGGUGAAUACGUUCCCGGGUCUUGUACACACCGCCCGUCAAGUCAUGAAAGUCGGUAACA
This 624-nucleotide ribosomal RNA is filed under the name Microbacterium sp. RNAcentral's name for it is "bacterial SSU rRNA". It matches the Rfam family "Bacterial small subunit ribosomal RNA", at positions 798 to 1419 of the family's 1533-position model. The record is from RNAcentral. Lineage: Bacteria; Bacillati; Actinomycetota; Actinomycetes; Micrococcales; Microbacteriaceae.